RNAcentral lists this transfer RNA (76 nucleotides) under Candidatus Deianiraea vastatrix. RNAcentral describes it as "tRNA-Met". It matches the Rfam family "tRNA". From Rfam's summary of the family: Transfer RNA (tRNA) molecules are approximately 80 nucleotides in length. Lineage: Bacteria; Pseudomonadati; Pseudomonadota; Alphaproteobacteria; Rickettsiales; Candidatus Deianiraeaceae. The record is from RNAcentral.
GGGUCUGUAGCUCAGUGGUUAGAGCAGAACACUCAUAAUGUUUUGGUCGUCGGUUCAAUCCCGACCAGACCCACCA